Molecule: ribosomal RNA, 301 nt
Filed under: uncultured bacterium
Lineage: Bacteria
Description: partial 16S ribosomal RNA
Rfam family: Bacterial small subunit ribosomal RNA
Source: RNAcentral
CAGCAGCCACGGUAAUACGUAGGGUGCGAGCGUUAAUCGGAAUUACUGGGCGUAAAGCGUGCGCAGGCGGUUCGUUAAGACAGAUGUGAAAUCCCCGGGCUUAACCUGGGAACUGCAUUUGUGACUGGCGAGCUAGAGUAUGGCAGAGGGGGGUAGAAUUCCACGUGUAGCAGUGAAAUGCGUAGAGAUGUGGAGGAAUACCGAUGGCGAAGGCAGCCCCCUGGGCCAAUACUGACGCUCAUGCACGAAAGCGUGGGGAGCAAACAGGAUUAGAGACCCCCGUAGUCCCUGUCUCUUAUAC